Molecule: long non-coding RNA, 259 nt
Organism: Mizuhopecten yessoensis (Yesso scallop)
Lineage: Eukaryota; Metazoa; Mollusca; Bivalvia; Pectinida; Pectinidae
Exons: 2
Source: RefSeq, a predicted model, not a curated record
UGAUGUACGCCGCCCUAGGCGAGGCAGACUACCCACGUUAUGGUUACUACGACUACGACUAUGGAUUUCCUCGAUCAUUCAGAGCAAUGCGCCAACGAUACAUGAUGAGAGAAUUUUACGACGAUUUAUUCGAUGACUGAAUACUAUACGUUCAGCUGUGGUCGUUGGCUCUUUUACAUGUGCCUUGCUUAUAUUUGUGUUCUCUUUUAAUCCUCGUUAAGGUCGCUAUUGGAAAUAAAUGAUUAUGUAAUUGUUCUUG